Molecule: unclassified non-coding RNA, 295 nt
Filed under: Hevea brasiliensis (rubber tree)
Lineage: Eukaryota; Viridiplantae; Streptophyta; Magnoliopsida; Malpighiales; Euphorbiaceae
Source: RNAcentral
AUACAAGCAGACACUUUAAGUUUAGUGCAAGGCGGGUUUACUGCUGGAAGCACUACAUCUGAAUCGAGCUGUGAAGCAGUCAGACUGUGCUGCAAAAUAUUAGUUGAAAGACUAACCCCUCUAAAGAAGAAUUUGCAAGAAAAAAAUGGUUCCGUUGAUUGGACUACGCUGAUUCGCCAGGCAAAAUUUCAAGCGAUAAACUUAGCAGCAAACUCUUAUUAUGUGCCAGAAUUGAGCUCCAUGAAGUAUCUGAACUAUGGAGCUGCUGUCAGCGAGGUGGAGAUAGACAUCCUGA